This 1246-nucleotide long non-coding RNA is filed under the name Marmota monax (woodchuck). The record is from RNAcentral. Lineage: Eukaryota; Metazoa; Chordata; Mammalia; Rodentia; Sciuridae.
UCACUGAGUUGCUUAGCACCUCACUUUUGCUGAGGCUGGCUUUGAACUCACAAUCCUUCUUCUCAGUCUCCUGAGCUGCUGGGAUUACGGGCGUGCACCACCACACCUGGCUCUUCUGGAUAUCUUAAGGCACCUUAUAUUCAUUAAAGGCACCACUCCCUGGUGAGGUACUUAGCAUCCUGCUCUUCAGAUUAAUGCAGACGAUGACUAUAGCUGAAGGGAGGCUGUAAGCAAGAUUUGCCGGCAGUGAUACCCACAGGCGUCCUGAGAUUGGCUUCCUUCCCCAUCAAACUGUGAACUAGUAGCCCAGCCAGGUUGAAGCCCCAAUCCCAGGAUGGAGGAGGUUUUAAGCAAGCAGUAGUUAUGCCUCUCAAGAAGUUUGGAGAAAUGAAAGAGAUCCUCCAGGCCUGGAGGAGAAAGGCUGGUGGCUAGAGGCCCAUCCAGGAGGCCGGUGCACCUCUGCGAGUCUUGCCCGUCUUCCUGUCUUGCAGCAUUACCUGAAAAGUUCAGAAGAUGGAGAUCUUAAAGCCACAUGACUGACUGUUUUAUAGCUAGAAAGGAAGCCAACCAGGGCAAGGCAACAGGAGUCGGUGGCAGAGGGCUGCGUGUGACACAGGGGGCCCUUCUGAUGAGCCAGGAAGAUGGGAAUGAAGGAAAUCUGGCAAUUCAGAUGAAAAGCCAGACAGCAGAAGAGGCAGAAGACAUUACCUAAUAAACUACGGGGGAGGAGGAGGCCCGUCAGAAUCCUCCCUGCUCCUCCUUAGCAUCUCAGCUGCUCGCUCCAUAAGUGGAAAUAAAAGCCCUCUGAGAAGGCAGUGAUUUGCUUAGAAAACAUUCAUUUAAAACAUCUUGCAAUUAUUGACACUAUCAUUACAUCUUGGCAGUGCCCGUGUAUUAUCACCUCCCCUGUGUGUUUGCCGUGAGAAGUGUCUCAUUGUUCAGGAGGGAAAAUAAAAGUCCCAGGAUUAUGUGCAUGGAAUACACGCCUGGCGAUAUGAAGUUGAUUUCCCAGGAAUAAGGAAGCCUGGAUGUCUAUUGUCAUCUACCUUGGUGGCCUGAAUGUUCCAAUCUCUCUCUCUCUCUCUCUCUCUCUCUCUCUCUCUCUCUCUCUCUCUCUCUCUCUCUCUCUCCCCUCUGGGCAGCCAUCCAAAUGAUUCAUAUUAAAUUCUAGCUAUAUUCAGCACAAAAGUCAUCUAGCAUCAGAGGAUCAAAGUUGCAUCAACCAACAAGCACUGGGGAAUUGAUA